RNAcentral lists this ribosomal RNA (484 nucleotides) under uncultured bacterium. RNAcentral describes it as "partial 16S ribosomal RNA". It matches the Rfam family "Bacterial small subunit ribosomal RNA", at positions 30 to 507 of the family's 1533-position model. The record is from RNAcentral.
AUUGAACGCUGGCGGCAGGCCUAACACAUGCAAGUCGAGCGGAUGAAGGGAGCUUGCUCCUGGAUUCAGCGGCGGACGGGUGAGUAAUGCCUAGGAAUCUGCCUGGCAGUGGGGGAUAACGUCCGGAAACGGGCGCUAAUAACGCAUACGUCCUGCGGGAGAAAGUGGGGGAUCUUCGGACCUCACGCUCUCAGAUGAGCCUAGGUCGGGUUAGCUAGUUGGUGGGGUAAAGGCCUACCAAGCCGAGGAUCCGUAACUGGUCUGAGAGGAUGAUCAGUCACACGGGAGCGUAGACAGGGACCAUGCUCCUGAGGGAGGCACCAGUGGGGUAUAUGGGACAGUGGGCGAAAGCCUGGUCCAGCCAUGCCGCGUGUGUGAAGAAGGUCUUCGGAUUGUAAAGCACUUUAAGUGGGGAGAAAGGGCAGUAAGUUAAGACCUUGCUGUUUUGACGUUACCAACAGAAUAAGCACCGGCUAACUUCGUG